GGCCAUGUAGCUUAAUGGUAAAGCGCAUUUUUUAAUGAUAUGGGAGGUUCGAUUCCCCCCAUGGUAA
Molecule: transfer RNA, 67 nt
Filed under: Paenibacillus macquariensis subsp. macquariensis
Lineage: Bacteria; Bacillati; Bacillota; Bacilli; Caryophanales; Paenibacillaceae
Also listed under: 1 other name
Description: tRNA-OTHER
Rfam family: tRNA
About the family: Transfer RNA (tRNA) molecules are approximately 80 nucleotides in length. Their secondary structure includes four short double-helical elements and three loops (D, anti-codon, and T loops).
Source: RNAcentral